CUUGCCUUGCUUCAUGGAGACCCUGGCUCUGUUAUUUAGAUGAGAGUAGAUGCAGUAAGCAGUGAAGUCAUCCGAAUUAUUAUCUUAAAACUUGUAUUAGCCACAAGAAUCUGGAAACCCAAGGCAUCUGAGUGUAAGUGUGAGUUGUUUGGUAGAGGGGUCCAAAAACAUGUUGUCAAAAAUGAGAAGCACAUUUUAAACUGUGUCCGUGUAAAUAACGUGGCAGUGCUUAGAGCUAGCUCUUCACCAAAAGGAGGACGUUACUCUGGGAGGCAGGAUCAAGAGAGGGGGAGACUGGUCCUUAGAUGGUGAUGAACCCACGGAAAGGCGUCCACUGCUCAUUUUACUAGGCAAGGGCAGGGAGGACUGGGAAGGAACAGAGAAGCCUCAAAUUAUUUUCAGGUUAAUUUCAGACCAUAGAAAGCCAUUGGGUGGCAUCCCUAGCCUCUUGUAACCAGCAGUUCUGAGCCACUUAAGUGUGAGAGUUCCUAACAAUGGUAAAGUGAGGGGACCCUGCAAAAGGCCUUCAGAGCAGCCUUACAGAAGCCCAUGCACCCUAGCAAGAUGCAAAGCAGGAGUUGUGUCUUUAAAAGUGAGCAGCUGAGAGAGUGCUCAGCUAACUGAGAGGCUUUCAAAGACAAGGAGAAGGGCAUGAAGAGGCUUGUUUUAGACCACAGACAUUAUAGGAAAGGUGCACGUUCACCUGUGUCUGAGAACCUGGCUGUUGGGUGGUUACGGACACAUAAGGACUGUGUGUAUGAAACACCAUUGUUACUUCUUAUUCUACGAUAUGACUCCUAGAUAUAGGGCUACAGGUUUAAGUAAAAGUUUAAUGAACUGAGUUUUGUCUUUUGAAGUGGUGACCCUAUUGAUGGUAUUUGUUGAGGCCUAUCAGAGAUGGUAUGGAUGACACUGGAUCAUGGGGAUGAACCUGUAGAAGUGGCAUUCAUGCCUCAAUCAGCCACACCAGGAAUGUUGGACUCUGUCUCUGCCAUCUCAAGACUUGGGGUGGCCUGCCAAAGCAUUGGUGAUAGGAGGAAGCCAGGAGUGGAGUCGGCAUGAGAAGCAGACCGGGGUUGCUCCAAUGCUGGACUUUUACCUUUUCCAGAGCAGGGAGAAAAUUAGAAUCUAGUAUAACAGCCUAGUAUAUGGUAGAAUUUUAUAACUACAACCUAGCACUCUAAGAUUCCAAGUCAGGACAGUUUUGAGAGCAAAGGAGGAUAUUAAGAUUGAUUAAAAUUAUAUAUCUCAAGAAGUCAUUAAACUGCUCCUUCAAUUUCAGCACCUGGAAGGAGGAAGAAAGGAAGUCAGAAUUUCAAGAGCAGCCUUGGUGACAUUCUACCUUUUAGACUGACUUCCUGUAUGACUUUAUAAAAUGGAUUCAAACGAUUCAAUAGAAAUAAAAUGUCUGUGACUUGUACCUGGGUUCAAGGCCAGUCUUAACUGACAAAAAGGGAAAAAUAUAAAAGGAAAAGAAACCUUCAACAAAUUGGCAUGUGCUUUAAACUGGUUGACUUAUAAAUAUUUCUUAGCAGAAAUUCUUUGCAAAAAUCACUUCAUCUAUAAAAUAAAUCAUAGUUUUAUAGGUUAAAGAAAAAUAUAAAAAUUAUAAUAUCUUAAUAUCUUAACACCAAAAAUAAUAUGCAACAUCCCAUGUUUGCUGAAAAUGAUCUGUUACAUACAUAAUAUAUAUUUUCAAGGAAAGUCUUACUUUUUUUGAUGUUAUCUCUUUAAUCUUCAAAUAAUCUUCAAAUUAAUGUUUCUAAUAAUGUUAGAAAUGGAUGUGUGUUUCCUCUGUCCUGUAAUGUAUAACAUUAUAUUUGAGAAAAUACAUUGACACUGGGUGCUUAUGAAUCGAAUCAACCCAAAAGAAAUGUCUGAAGUGAUUGAGACAAUCAGUUCUAGCCCUUAGGAAGUGUGUUCACAUACGAGGUCAGGCACUGGACAGAUAAUGGCUUUUUACCUCAAUUUCGAGAUUCUCUUUGCCACCAAAUAUUUUACAAGGCAAAAACUCAUAAAAAUAAACUCUGGGCUCAUAAUUCUAUUGUGUUGCCAAAUAGAUGUACGAAGUCAUAGGACUUUCAUUCCAUUCCAGUACAUGAUAUAAUCCAAUUACAAAAACGGAGCUUGAUCAAAAGAUUGUUCCUACAAGUAAUUUGCAGGAUUUCAAAACUGGACUUUGAGCUGUCUGAGGUCUUCGUCACUUAAUUCUCUCAUCUCCCUGACUUGGUUGGAAUCAUCUUGCCUUUGUACUUAUUGCAAAACCUGAAAUCUUCUGGCUUCCAACACAUGAGUGUCUUGAUAGAAGAUUUUCAACUAAUCAUUUUUUAAUUGAAGAAUCUUUCAGUGCCAACAAGGGACUAGCGGGCUGAUUUACGAUGCAAUUCUCCUGAAUGCUGAAACACUUCUAAAAUCCAGUUAAAAAAGAACAAAAGAAGUACACACCACCUUGCAAAAUGUGCGUUGUCUUGGACUUAUUUAGUUUUGUUUCUGUGUUCAAUGUAAGUUUAAUCAAUAGGCAUUCAUAGUCAGCUGUGUUAAUUAAAAUGUUUCUAAAUUCUGAUGCUGGCUGCAGCUGUUGUUUCAAGCUGUGACAGUUCACUCAAUAUAGUAUGUUUAUAUGUGUAUGCCACCCAAUUGCAAGAAUAAUUUUCUCUGUAUUUCUUGAAUGAAUACAAUCAUAAUUUUACCUAUGAUGUGUUCUACUCUACCAAAUGUGUCCAUAUCAACACCACAAAACCUAGUAAUAGUAAGUUCAAUGUUGAACUUUUUAACUCAACGUAGAAUACAUUCAUCUCUACACCUCUGAGAAGGAUAUUUUUAUGUAGGUUUGAUAAAAAUUCAAUCAAUUAAAGAGAAAAAAUAUUGGUUCUUAGUUGUAACAUUAAACAUCUACAAAACUGUUUUCUUUAACUCUUUACAAAUAAUUUCUGCUAUAGUCUGAACAUUUGUGUCUUCCUGUAAUACACGUGUGAUGGUUAGCUUAAAUUGCUGACAUGACUUAAUGUAGAAUCACUGGAAAGAGAGUCUCAAUGAGGAGUUGUCUACGUUGGCUUGGCCUUUGGGCAUGUCUUGGAGGUAAGGAUUAAUUAGGUUAAUUGAUGUUGGGAGACAGAGUUCACUGUGGGUGGCACCAUUCCCUGAGCAGGGAAAUCAUAAACUAUUCAGGAAUGGAGAAAUGGAGUUGACUCAAGCACAUGAGUGAGUGAAUUUGUACACAUUCAUUUUUCUCUGCUUUUUAUUGUAGAUGUAAUCUGUUUGAAUUUCUUGCCUUGGUUUCUCCACAAUGAUAAACUAUUAUCUGAGACUGUAAACUAAAAUAAAUCCCUUUCUCGUCUAAGUCGCUUUCUGUUGGACUCUAUAUCAUAGCAUCAGAAAUGGAAUUAAAACAACACAUCAAAUCCAAGUUAUGACUAGGAUAGUUUUUCUCGAUGGGAACUUUGGGGAUGAGCAGGUCACAAGAGCAGAGCCUUCAGGAUGAAGUUAAUGUAUUUAUAAAAGAAACCACCUUAGGAACUGCCUUGUCCCCUUUCUGUGUGAGGUCACUGUAGGAAAACAUGAUUUAUGUAACAGGAAACAGACUUCCACCAGAUACUGACUGUGCAGAUGCCUUCAUCUUGGACUUCCAACCUCUAGAGCUAUGAGAAAUAACCGUGUGUUGUUUAUAAGCAGCUUAGUCUGUGGCCUUGUGUCAUAGCAUCCUGAACAGACCAGAGAUCUUCCUUUGCCACUGGAAUCAACACAUCGCAGCCUUUCCCCAGGUGUCUUUUUAUUGUGAUAAAAUGCUGUGACCAAAAGCAACUUAGGGAGAAAAGGCUUUGUUUCAGCUUCUAGGUUACAGCGCAUCAUUUAGGGAAGUCAGACAGAACCUCACAGAGCACCUCAAGGCAGAAACCACAGGAAGCAUUGCCUCUGGCUCAUUGAGCUCAUACUCAGCUGGCUUUCACACACAGUGUAGGAUCACCUGCCCAGGGAAUUCUUAUACCUACUGAUACGUGAUUUACAUAAGAUUGUGAUGCUUAGAGUUGAUUGUCAACUUGAAGGACUUUAGAACUACCUGAAAGAAAGGUUUCUGAGCAUACCUGCAGGGGAAUAUCCAUCAAAGCGAGAAGACACAUCUCAGUGGUAGGUAACAGCAUUUCGUGGACAAAGAUCUCUGAACAAAGUGGAGAGAUGAAGCCAAACACUAGGAAACAUGCAUCCACUUCUCUGUUCUUCUGACUACAGACAUGAUGUGACUAACUGCUUCAAGCUCCUACUGCCUUGAUCCCCUGCCAUUAUGGACUGCACUUUGAACUCAGAGAAUAAGCUCUUUCUCCCUUAGAAUGUCUAAUCACAGUACAGGAAGAGAGGCUAAGACAGGGAUUUUCUUUGUUUAAAUCCUUGUUGUGGUUUCUGUUUUCAGUUGGAUCAUGGCCAGUAUAAUGCUGACUGUGAGAGGUGGGCACGGACAGUAACCUUGGAGGACCUCAACAGCAGGCUGUGGUUCUGAACUUGAUUGAAAUAAAGAACUUCCUACCGUGUGAAACAAGAUUCAGUGCAAGUAGCACCCAUGACUUAACUCCAUCCAUCUGUGGAAUCGGCCUUGAAGUUUUGUUUGAACUUGGUGUGGUUCUCCUGGCUGGGCCAUGAGUUUUCCCAAGAGUGAACCCAGGCUGCAUGGCUGCUUCUGCUGAGCUACAUCAUGCUUCGGAAUGAAUGCCAGUGGCUUUUCUGCAUACUCGGCAUCAUAGGAAGAGUUACGAUCUGUCGACACUAUGAACCUCUGCCUCAGCACUUUCCACAAUUUGCCAAAAUUAUGUUUGCCACAACCAGAUACUUUUCUAAAGAGAGAUUACUGGGGCCUCAUUAGCAUCUAACUGGUGUGUGGAUUUUACUUGUCUCUCAGAGCUUAAAACCAGGGAAGAAUGCCACUCUUGAGAAAAGUCAACUCUCAAUUUCCUCUUACCAUAUCAUAAUAAAUGAAACAACAUAAACAGAGAAGCAUUAUUGUUACCCUUAUCAUUACCAUAGAUGCAUCUGCUCGGCACAUAAAGAAUUAACACCCAGCAAAGUAAAAUGUCAUGUCUUGUCAAAAAAA
This is a non-coding RNA of Rattus norvegicus (Norway rat), 5080 nucleotides long. Lineage: Eukaryota; Metazoa; Chordata; Mammalia; Rodentia; Muridae. The record is from RefSeq and is a predicted model, not a curated record.